RNAcentral lists this ribosomal RNA (253 nucleotides) under uncultured bacterium. RNAcentral describes it as "partial 16S ribosomal RNA". It matches the Rfam family "Bacterial small subunit ribosomal RNA", at positions 524 to 776 of the family's 1533-position model. The record is from RNAcentral.
UACGGGGGGAGCAAGCGUUGUUCGGAUUUACUGGGCGUAAAGGGCGCGUAGGCGGCGUGACAAGUCACUUGUGAAAUCUCCGGGCUUAACCCGGAACGGUCAAGUGAUACUGUCGUGCUAGAGUACAGAAGGGGCAACUGGAAUUCUCGGUGUAGCGGUGAAAUGCGUAGAUAUCGAGAGGAACACCUGCGGCGAAGGCGGGUUGCUGGGCUGAUACUGACGCUGAGGCGCGAAAGUGUGGGGAGCAAACAGG